Molecule: ribosomal RNA, 551 nt
Filed under: uncultured microeukaryote
Lineage: Eukaryota
Description: bacterial SSU rRNA
Rfam family: Eukaryotic small subunit ribosomal RNA
Source: RNAcentral
AGCCAUGCAUGUGUAAGCACAGACCUUAAAACGGUGAAGCUGCGAAUGGCUCAUUAGGCCACCCAUGAUUUAUUAGAUCGUAAUUUUCUUACUUGGAUAACUGUGGUAAUUCUAGAGCUAAUACAUGCGUAUAAAGCUCCAACUCCGGCGCGAGUCGGAGGAAGAGCGCGUUUAUUAGAUCAAAACCAAUCGGUGGCCUUCUCGGUCGCCGUAACGGUGGUGACUCUGGAUAACUUUGAGCGGAUCGCAUGGCCUCGAGCCGGCGACGUAUCUUUCAAGUGUGUGCCCUAUCAACUGUCGAUGGUAAGUGAUAUGCUUACCAUGGUGGUAACGGGUAACGGGGAAUCAGGGUUCGAUUCCGGAGAGGGAGCAUGAGAAACGGCUACCACAUCCGAAGGAAGGCGAGCGAGGCGCGCAAAUUACCCGACUCCCGACGCGGGGAGGUAGUGACGAGAGAGAUAACGAUACGGGACUCUUUCGAGGCCCCGUGAUCGGGAUGAGUACGACUUUGAGAUCCUUGAACGAGGGUCCGUUGGGAGGGCGGAGUCUGG